Molecule: small nuclear RNA, 105 nt
Filed under: Ochotona princeps (American pika)
Lineage: Eukaryota; Metazoa; Chordata; Mammalia; Lagomorpha; Ochotonidae
Source: RNAcentral
GUGCUCAUUUCAGCAGCAUGUAAUCUAAAUUUGGAGCAAUACAGAGAUUUAGCAUGGCCUCUGCGCAAGGAUGACAUGCAAAUUUAUGCACCAUUCCAUCUUUUU